UUUUGUAGACAUUGGGGGGUCGUGAAGACUCUAUCAGUUAGUAUUUGUUCUCGAAAGGGCUUCGAUUAAUAUUGAAUAAUCAGACAUAGUACGCUAAGGUUGUAUGUCUAAAGGGAAACAGCCCAGAACAAGUGUAAGUAAGGUUCCAAAAUUAUUAUUAAGUGAAACAAAGGUAGUUUAUCUUUUAAACGUCCAGGAAAUUGGCUUAGAGGCGGCCAUUUUUUAAAGACCUCGUAACAGAGCACUGGUUUUAUUAUAGAUUAUAUAUAAUAUAAUUAUAUAUCGAGAUAAGCACCGACGAUUCCACGGAUCUAAAUAAUAUACCGAAACCUUGUCCAUGUUUAUUUAUAUAUAUGCUUGUGUAUAUAGUAUUUGUUCUCGGGAGGGCUUUGAUCAAAGUACAAGGGGAGUAUAAAUAUAUAUAUAUAUAUGAGUUAUAUAUAUUAGAAUGGGGUAGCGGAACAUUGGGCAAACCACAUUUUUUUUUUAUAAAAAUUUUUAGGUACCCCAAGUGAUAAUGCUGACAUGAGUAACGAUAAGGGGAUAAAUCCCUCGCCUAAAGCUUAUGGUAUUUAGUUAAAGUAACGGCCUCUAAGUUUAUAAAUAAAAAACUAAAGUAUUUUCCCUAACUAGGGAUAAUGAUUUAAAGUAUUUUAGUUAACCUAAAGGAUUAAACGAUGAGCAAAUCUUUAGAAUAAAAAUAUAUAUAAAUAACAUUUUAAACAAUUUUUCUUCGUUAGACUUUCGUUAGACUUUCGUUAGAAAAGUGUAAAAGUGAAAAGUGUUCUGGAAAAUUGUAUUUUUUACCGCUUUACCUAAAACGUGUGGAUGUUACACACUCGUGGAAGAUAAACUAAAUAGAUGAACACGAGAUUUAAAGUGGUUACCGUACCUAGAUACUACCACAAGUAAGCAAGUAGAG
Molecule: ribosomal RNA, 922 nt
Filed under: Dufourea karrooensis
Lineage: Eukaryota; Fungi; Ascomycota; Lecanoromycetes; Teloschistales; Teloschistaceae
Description: partial 23S ribosomal RNA
Rfam family: Bacterial large subunit ribosomal RNA (bases 1-525)
Source: RNAcentral